Molecule: ribosomal RNA, 305 nt
Filed under: uncultured bacterium
Lineage: Bacteria
Description: bacterial SSU rRNA
Rfam family: Bacterial small subunit ribosomal RNA
Source: RNAcentral
CGUGCCUACGGGACGCAGCAGUGGGGAAUAUUGCACAAUGGGGGGAACCCUGAUGCAGCAAUGCCGCGUGAAGGAUGAAGGUUUUCGGAUUGUAAACUUCUUUUGUACGGGACGAAGAAAGUGACGGUACCGUAAGAAGAAGCCCCGGCUAACUACGUGCCAGCAGCCGCGGUAAUACGUAGGGGGCUAGCGUUAUCCGGAAUUACUGGGCGUAAAGGGUGCGUAGGUGGUUUCUUAAGUCAGAGGUGAAAGGCUACGGCUCAACCGUAGUAAGCCUUUGAAACUGGGAAACUUGAGUUCAGGAG